RNAcentral lists this ribosomal RNA (253 nucleotides) under uncultured bacterium. RNAcentral describes it as "partial 16S ribosomal RNA". It matches the Rfam family "Bacterial small subunit ribosomal RNA", at positions 524 to 776 of the family's 1533-position model. The record is from RNAcentral.
UACAGAGGUCUCAAGCGUUGUUCGGAUUCAUUGGGCGUAAAGGGUGCGUAGGUGGCAUGGUAAGUCGGAUGUGAAAUCCCGGGGCUCAACCCCGGAACUGCAUUCGAUACUGCUGAGCUAGAGUACUGGAGAGGAGAUUGGAAUUUACGGUGUAGCAGUGAAAUGCGUAGAUAUCGUAAGGAAGACCAGCGGCGAAGGCGGGUCUCUGGACAGUUCCUGACACUGAGGCACGAAGGCCAGGGGAGCAAACGGG